Vicugna pacos (alpaca) is the source of this 753-nucleotide non-coding RNA. Lineage: Eukaryota; Metazoa; Chordata; Mammalia; Artiodactyla; Camelidae. The record is from RefSeq and is a predicted model, not a curated record.
CCAAAUCUGAAAGGUAAAAAAACUUUUCUUUUUUCAUGCAUCACAAAAAUAAAAGUUAUAAAAUGCACAGGAGAAAAACUGAAAAUAGUUUAUAAUAUAAGUGAAUGAUUAAAAUACUGCUAUCAAAUUUCAAGAAAUGUAAAGUGAGCUCAGCGAGUAAGAGCAUGAUAUAAGAUUGUGAGGUUUGUGAUAAUGAAAGCAGAUUAAUAAGUCACUGGGCCUGAAACUGAUGUGUUGAUCAUCACCUAGUAAGCCUGUCAAGUACUGAUGUUCAUAAACUAAUCCAGAUAAACUGAAUGAACACCUAUAAAUGCAAAAUUAGUCAUCAGUACCUCAUAGAGAUACUGCAAAUGCAGAUCAAAAUUCGAUCAUCUAUAGAUACUAGCAAUUUUCUGAUAUUUUUCUUCUGUUCUGUUACAACAGAAUCCAACUACUUUACCAUGGAUAACAGAAACAAGAGGCAGGUGAAGAAAUAGGAAGAUAUGACCCAUAAACCAAGCCAAAAGAAACCAAAAAGAAUAGAAACUGCCUGUGACAGCAACCAGAUUUAAACAAGGGCUUCAAAGUAGCCAUUAUAAGUAUGUUCAAAUAAACAAAAGAAUCCAUGCUUAAAGUAAAUGAAGGUAUGAUCACAAGGUCAUAUCAAGUAGAGAAUAUCAAUGAAGAGACAGAAGUUAUUUACUAUCACCAGAUGAAAAGUAUAACUGAAAUGAAAAUUUCACUAGAGUAACUCAGCACUAGAUGUGAACUAGC